Molecule: non-coding RNA, 31 nt
Filed under: Mus musculus (house mouse)
Lineage: Eukaryota; Metazoa; Chordata; Mammalia; Rodentia; Muridae
Source: RNAcentral
UGAAUGUCCUGCCUCAAAAGUUGCUAUCAUA